CCUACGGGUGGCAGCAGUAGGGAAUAUUGCUCAAUGGGGGAAACCCUGAAGCAGCAACGCCGCGUGGAGGAUGAAGGUUUUCGGAUUGUAAACUCCUUUUGUUAGAGAAGAUAAUGACGGUAUCUAACGAAUAAGCACCGGCUAACUCCGUGCCAGCAGCCGCGGUAAUACGGAGGGUGCAAGCGUUACUCGGAAUCACUGGGCGUAAAGAGCGCGUAGGCGGGAUAGCAAGUCAGAUGUGAAAUCCUAGGGCUUAACCAUAGAACUGCAUUUGAAACUGUUAUUCUAGAGUAUGGGAGAGGUAGGUGGAAUUCUUGGUGUAGAGGUAAAAUCCGUAGAGAUCAAGAGGAAUACUCAUUGCGAAGGCGACCUGCUAGAACAUAACUGACGCUGAUGCGCGAAAGCGUGGGGAGCAAACAGGAUUAGAUACCCCGGUAGUC
This 440-nucleotide ribosomal RNA is filed under the name uncultured bacterium. RNAcentral's name for it is "partial 16S ribosomal RNA". It matches the Rfam family "Bacterial small subunit ribosomal RNA", at positions 338 to 795 of the family's 1533-position model. The record is from RNAcentral.